GAUGAACGCUGGCGGCGUGCCUAAUACAUGCAAGUCGAGCGAACAGACGAGGAGCUUGCUCCUCUGACGUUAGCGGCGGACGGGUGAGUAACACGUGGAUAACCUACCUAUAAGACUGGGAUAACUUCGGGAAACCGGAGCUAAUACCGGAUAAUAUAUUGAACCGCAUGGUUCAAUAGUGAAAGACGGUUUUGCUGUCACUUAUAGAUGGAUCCGCGCCGCAUUAGCUAGUUGGUAAGGAAACGGUUUACCAAGGCAACGAUGCGUAGCCGACUUGAGAGGUGGAUCGGCCACACUGGAACUGAGACACGGUCCAGACUCCUACGGGAGGCAGCAGAAGGGAAUCUUCCGAAAUGGGCGAAAGCCUGACGGAGCAACGCGGCGUGGGUGAUGAAGGUCUUCGGUUCGUAAGACUCUGUUAUUAGGGAAGAACAAUUGUGUAAGUAACUAUGCACGUCUUGACGGUACCUAAUCAGAAAGCCACGGCUAACUACGUG
This 497-nucleotide ribosomal RNA is filed under the name uncultured bacterium. Its description in RNAcentral is "partial 16S ribosomal RNA". It matches the Rfam family "Bacterial small subunit ribosomal RNA", at positions 28 to 507 of the family's 1533-position model. The record is from RNAcentral.